This is a long non-coding RNA of Photinus pyralis (common eastern firefly), 474 nucleotides long. RefSeq lists it as uncharacterized. The record is from RefSeq and is a predicted model, not a curated record. Lineage: Eukaryota; Metazoa; Arthropoda; Insecta; Coleoptera; Lampyridae. The transcript is spliced from 2 exons.
UUACCCAUUCUGCUUUUCGCCCGAUUUCCAUAUACCUAGCUACCUACUUUAACUUUUGAGGUCAAGCCACUUAUCUCGUAAAAAGUAAUGAGUAAAAACAUCUUCUUGCACGUAAAUAUUCUUCCUGAAUAUGUAAUUAUUUGAAACCAAAUUGACGUAAAAUUACGAGUGGUACUACGAGAGAUAGCCAUUCGCACUCGGUAAUUUAUUACGUCCAUCGCAACACUUUUGGUCAAAGUACGUAAAUGUGUCCAUUUAGAUCGUGUUAACGUAAAAACAUGAGUGCAUGAAGAAUCCAUUUCAUCGCCUACGUUUUUUUUUAGUUGUUCAAUUACAAUUUUUGACUAAAAUGAAGGUGUACUAUAAAGAAAGAUGUGUUUGUAAUGGCUCCGAGAACUUUUAAAAAUCGUGUCCGAAAACAAUCAAAAAUGGCUGAAUCUGCGAUGGGAGAGGUUGUGAAUGGUUUUCCGGCCG